UACGGAGGGUGCAAACGUUGUUCGGAAUCAUUGGGCGUAAAGCGCGCGUAGGCGGCCUGUUAGGUCGGGUGUGAAAUCCCAGAGCUCAACUCUGGAAUUGCGCUCGAAACCGGCAGGCUUGAGUCCCGGAGGGAGAAGUGGAAUUCCUGGUGUAGGGGUGAAAUCCGUAGAUAUCAGGAGGAACACCGGCGGCGAAGGCG
This 200-nucleotide ribosomal RNA is filed under the name uncultured bacterium. Its description in RNAcentral is "partial 16S ribosomal RNA". It matches the Rfam family "Bacterial small subunit ribosomal RNA", at positions 524 to 723 of the family's 1533-position model. The record is from RNAcentral.